UUCCCAAAAUCUUUUAUUUCCUCAUGGAUGUAUUAAGAUGGUGCUGCUACUCGUAAUAAAGUCAUUUUACAAUUCUACCAAGGUUUAUGCUUGUGAAAUGUGUUCAAUUACUACGUACACUUUAUACAAUUAUAUAGAUACAUAAUUUUAUUUUAUAUGUAUAUUUAUUUAUCUAAUUCUGUUGUCAUUUACAAUAGUUUACUUCAUAUCUGUUCUAUUUUCCAUUGACAAUUGUGCAUGUAAAUGCUCUGAAGUCUGCAACUUUAAUGUAUCUUUUAUAAAAAAAAAGAUACCAGUUAGAUUUUUCUGUAAAAGUUUAGCAUCAAAGCUUUUCAUCGGAAGCACUAGUGUUGACCAAAUUGCAAGUAAGAUAUUUAUUUGACAAAAACAUUGGCAAAGUUUUUUAAUCAUGGACUCAGGCCUUCAGUCCUGGUUAGUCUCAGGCUGAAAUAGUAAGGUAUGUUGUUCAUUUGAACAAAAUUACCGACAAUAUUGGCACCGGCUGGCUCGUCAAUGAGCUUGUCUCGAGGGCCGCGAGGAGGGACCUGGCGCGGUGUCACGGACGCGAUUCCUCACGAGAAUGGUGUCGAUCAUCGGGCGAAGUGCACGGCUCUCGAGUUCGCUUUUAAGAUAUACCUCGGCGGUCCUGCCAGCGAGUGGAAGCUCACCGGCUUCGUUAUGCCAGCACGAGAUCACAAGAAGAGACGAUGUCGCACUCUCUGCCGCGCCGACGACGGCCCUUACAUUGGGAGUGAGGUUAGGUACUCUAUCGACGCUCGCGACGAGAACUGCAUACCGCGGUUAUGCGGCUUCAGCACCGAGCCCGCCUUCGUCGGGGAAGCUCUCCGUAUUCCAGAGGAUGAAACAGCUAUACAAAGACUACUGGCACGUCCUGAUACCGGUGCAUCUUAUUACGUCAGCAGGAUGGGUCGGCAUAUUUUACAUCGCUGCGAAGAACGGAGUCGACAUAGUUGCCAUUAUGAAAUACCUGCACAUCAGUGAGAAGUACAUAGAGCUGGUGCAUAAUUCUGGUGCUGGUCACUGGGCGGUAGUCUAUGCCCUGUACAAAUUAGUUACGCCGCUAAGAUACAUCGUCACAGUUGGUGGCACGACUGUAGCCAUUGGAUACCUGCGAAGGUGGGGAUAUAUGCAUAAGAAGCAGAUUCCACCCAUGAAGAAGGACGAGCAGUUAAGCAAAAGCACAGCGAAGGAGAAGACAAAUCUCACCGAGAAAGAACCCAAGCCCGAACCACCAAAGACGUAACAUUUGACCUAUACGGACGUCCGAGGAUUAAUUCCAUCCGAUUCACUCCUUAGCCUCGACUCAACGAACAUAAGACCUUCGUAAGGCCAUAUAUUGGAAAGAGUGUCGACAUUUAGGACGACGAGUCAGCGAACGAAGGAACAGGCAUUUCUCGACGACGGUAUCCAACAGGGGAGCCUCAAAGUCAUCGUCUCAAAAGUUCACCUUAUAAAAACG
RNAcentral lists this unclassified non-coding RNA (1480 nucleotides) under Orussus abietinus. RNAcentral describes it as "uncharacterized protein C18orf19 homolog A, transcript variant X2". The record is from RNAcentral. Lineage: Eukaryota; Metazoa; Arthropoda; Insecta; Hymenoptera; Orussidae.